RNAcentral lists this ribosomal RNA (1697 nucleotides) under Salmonella enterica. RNAcentral describes it as "partial 23S ribosomal RNA". It matches the Rfam family "Bacterial large subunit ribosomal RNA", at positions 1154 to 2807 of the family's 2925-position model. The record is from RNAcentral. Lineage: Bacteria; Pseudomonadati; Pseudomonadota; Gammaproteobacteria; Enterobacterales; Enterobacteriaceae. RNAcentral also lists the same sequence under 1 other name.
CGUAUCACCCAAGACAACUUUACGGAGUUGACGAUUGACGGAGCGAAGCGACGUCAAAGCGUUCAUUAAAGUCGAGUUGGCUUAGGGAUACGUUCGUUGGGUAGGGGAGCGUUCUGUAAGCCUGUGAAGGUGUGUCGUGAGGCAUGCUGGAGGUAUCAGAAGUGCGAAUGCUGACAUAAGUAACGAUAAAGCGGGUGAAAAGCCCGCUCGCCGGAAGACCAAGGGUUCCUGUCCAACGUUAAUCGGGGCAGGGUGAGUCGACCCCUAAGGCGAGGCCGAAAGGCGUAGUCGAUGGGAAACGGGUUAAUAUUCCCGUACUUGGUGUUACUGCGAAGGGGGGACGGAGAAGGCUAUGUUGGCCGGGCGACGGUUGUCCCGGUUUAAGCGUGUAGGUGUGUGUUCCAGGUAAAUCCGGUUCACUUUAACACUGAGGCGUGACGACGAGGCACUACGGUGCUGAAGCAACAAAUGCCCUGCUUCCAGGAAAAGCCUCUAAGCAUCAGGUAACAUCAAAUCGUACCCCAAACCGACACAGGUGGUCAGGUAGAGAAUACCAAGGCGCUUGAGAGAACUCGGGUGAAGGAACUAGGCAAAAUGGUGCCGUAACUUCGGGAGAAGGCACGCUGACACGUAGGUGAAGUGAUUUACUCAUGGAGCUGAAGUCAGUCGAAGAUACCAGCUGGCUGCAACUGUUUAUUAAAAACACAGCACUGUGCAAACACGAAAGUGGACGUAUACGGUGUGACGCCUGCCCGGUGCCGGAAGGUUAAUUGAUGGGGUCAGCGCAAGCGAAGCUCCUGAUCGAAGCCCCGGUAAACGGCGGCCGUAACUAUAACGGUCCUAAGGUAGCGAAAUUCCUUGUCGGGUAAGUUCCGACCUGCACGAAUGGCGUAAUGAUGGCCAGGCUGUCUCCACCCGAGACUCAGUGAAAUUGAACUCGCUGUGAAGAUGCAGUGUACCCGCGGCAAGACGGAAAGACCCCGUGAACCUUUACUAUAGCUUGACACUGAACAUUGAGCCUUGAUGUGUAGGAUAGGUGGGAGGCUUUGAAGUGUGGACGCCAGUCUGCAUGGAGCCGACCUUGAAAUACCACCCUUUAAUGUUUGAUGUUCUAACGUGGACCCGUAAUCCGGGUUGCGGACAGUGUCUGGUGGGUAGUUUGACUGGGGCGGUCUCCUCCUAAAGAGUAACGGAGGAGCACGAAGGUUGGCUAAUCCUGGUCGGACAUCAGGAGGUUAGUGCAAUGGCAUAAGCCAGCUUGACUGCGAGCGUGACGGCGCGAGCAGGUGCGAAAGCAGGUCAUAGUGAUCCGGUGGUUCUGAAUGGAAGGGCCAUCGCUCAACGGAUAAAAGGUACUCCGGGGAUAACAGGCUGAUACCGCCCAAGAGUUCAUAUCGACGGCGGUGUUUGGCACCUCGAUGUCGGCUCAUCACAUCCUGGGGCUGAAGUAGGUCCCAAGGGUAUGGCUGUUCGCCAUUUAAAGUGGUACGCGAGCUGGGUUUAGAACGUCGUGAGACAGUUCGGUCCCUAUCUGCCGUGGGCGCUGGAGAACUGAGGGGGGCUGCUCCUAGUACGAGAGGACCGGAGUGGACGCAUCACUGGUGUUCGGGUUGUCAUGCCAAUGGCACUGCCCGGUAGCUAAAUGCGGAAGAGAUAAGUGCUGAAAGCAUCUAAGCACGAAACUUGCCCCGAGAUGA